RNAcentral lists this ribosomal RNA (253 nucleotides) under uncultured bacterium. RNAcentral's name for it is "partial 16S ribosomal RNA". It matches the Rfam family "Bacterial small subunit ribosomal RNA", at positions 524 to 776 of the family's 1533-position model. The record is from RNAcentral.
UACGUAGGGUGCAAGCGUUGUCCGGAAUUAUUGGGCGUAAAGAGCUCGUAGGCGGUUUGUCGCGUCUGCUGUGAAAACCCGAGGCUCAACCUCGGGCCUGCAGUGGGUACGGGCAGACUAGAGUGCGGUAGGGGAGAUUGGAAUUCCUGGUGUAGCGGUGGAGUGCGCAGAUAUCAGGAGGAACACCGAUGGCGAAGGCAGGUCUCUGGGCCACUACUGACGCUGAGAAGCGAAAGCAUGGGGAGCGAACAGG